Molecule: ribosomal RNA, 468 nt
Filed under: uncultured bacterium
Lineage: Bacteria
Description: partial 16S ribosomal RNA
Rfam family: Bacterial small subunit ribosomal RNA
Source: RNAcentral
GACGAACGCUGGCGGCGUGCUUAACACAUGCAAGUCGAACGGAAAGGCCCUGCUUUGGUGGGGUGCUCGAGUGGCGAACGGGUGAGUAACACGUGAGUAACCUGCCCUUGACUUUGGGAUAACGUCAGGAAACUGGGGCUAAUACCGGAUAGGAGCUCCUGCUGCAUGGUGGGGGUUGGAAAGUUUCGGCGGUUGGGGAUGGACUCGCGGCUUGUCAGCUUGUGGGUGGGGUAGUGGCUUACCAAGGCUUUGACGGGUAGCCGGCCUGAGAGGGUGACCGGCCACAUUGGGACUGAGAUACGGCCCAGACUCCUACGGGAGGCAGCAGUGGGGAAUAUUGCACGAUGGGCGGAAGCCUGAUGCAGCAACGCCGCGUGCGGGAUGACGGCCUUCGGGUUGUAAACCGCUUUCGCCUGUGACGAAGCGUGAGUGACGGUAAUGGGUAAAGAAGCACCGGCUAACUACGUG